GAUGAACGCUGGCGGCGUGCCUAAUACAUGCAAGUCGAGCGAACAGACGAGGAGCUUGCUCCUCUGACGUUAGCGGCGGACGGGUGAGUAACACGUGGAUAACCUACCUAUAAGACUGGGAUAACUUCGGGAAACCGGAGCUAAUACCGGAUAACAUGUUGAACCGCAUGGUUCAACAGUGAAAGACGGUCUUGCUGUCACUUAUAGAUGGAUCCGCGCCGCAUUAGCUAGUUGGUAAGGUAACGGCUUACCAAGGCAACGAUGCGUAGCCGACCUGAGAGGGUGAUCGGCCACACUGGAACUGAGACACGGUCCAGACUCCUACGGGAGGCAGCAGUAGGGAAUCUUCCGCAAUGGGCGAAAUCCUGACGGAGCAACGCCGCGUGAGUGAAGAAGGUCUUCGGAUCGUAAAACUCUGUUAUUAGGGGAGAACAAAUGUGUAAGUAACUAUGCACGUCUUGACGGUACCUAAUCAGAAAGCCACGGCUAACUACGUG
This 497-nucleotide ribosomal RNA is filed under the name uncultured bacterium. RNAcentral's name for it is "partial 16S ribosomal RNA". It matches the Rfam family "Bacterial small subunit ribosomal RNA", at positions 28 to 507 of the family's 1533-position model. The record is from RNAcentral.